This 496-nucleotide ribosomal RNA is filed under the name uncultured bacterium. RNAcentral's name for it is "partial 16S ribosomal RNA". It matches the Rfam family "Bacterial small subunit ribosomal RNA", at positions 28 to 506 of the family's 1533-position model. The record is from RNAcentral.
GAUGAACGCUGGCGGCGUGCCUAAUACAUGCAAGUCGAGCGAACAGACGAGGAGCUUGCUCCUCUGACGUUAGCGGCGGACGGGUGAGUAACACGUGGAUAACCUACCUAUAAGACUGGGAUAACUUCGGGAAACCGGAGCUAAUACCGGAUAAUAUAUUGAACCGCAUGGUUCAAUAGUGAAAGACGGUUUUGCUGUCACUUAUAGAUGGAUCCGCGCCGCAUUAGCUAGUUGGUAAGGUAACGGCUUACCAAGGCGACGAUGCGUAGCCGACCUGAGAGGGUGAUCGGCCACACUGGAGCUGAGACGCGGUCCAGACUCCUACGGGAGGCAGCAGUAGGGAAUCUUCCGCAAUGGGCGAAAGCCUGACGGAGCAACGCCGCGUGAGUGAUGAAGGUCUUCGGAUCGUAAAACUCUGUUAUUAGGGAAGAACAAAUGUGUAAGUAACUAUGCACGUCUUGACGGUACCUAAUCAGAAAGCCACGGCUAACUACGG